Molecule: ribosomal RNA, 114 nt
Organism: Pan paniscus (pygmy chimpanzee)
Lineage: Eukaryota; Metazoa; Chordata; Mammalia; Primates; Hominidae
Source: Ensembl
GUCUACGGUCACACCACCCUGAAUGCACCAGAUCUCCUCUGAUCUUGGAAGCUAAGCAGGGUCAGGCCUGCUUAGUACUUGGAUGGGAGAAAACUACUUAUGCCUUUGUUAACA